Molecule: small nucleolar RNA, 220 nt
Organism: Phragmites australis (common reed)
Lineage: Eukaryota; Viridiplantae; Streptophyta; Magnoliopsida; Poales; Poaceae
Product: small nucleolar RNA U3
Exons: 1
Source: RefSeq, a predicted model, not a curated record
ACGACCUUACUUGAACAGGAUCUGUUCUAUAGGAUCGUACCGCUGCAUCCUUUACAAUAAGGAGGCAAGCACUAAAGUCUGGUUGAUGCACUGUGACCUCUGGGCUAGAGCGUGAUUAACGGCUAGGCUGCACCACCUGGUGGUGUCAUCCGACGGCUGUAGAGGAUCGUUCCUGGCUGGUAAAACAGUUCAGGGUGGCCCAGAGGUUGUCUGACAGACC